This 636-nucleotide long non-coding RNA is filed under the name Monodelphis domestica (gray short-tailed opossum). RNAcentral's name for it is "lncRNA (ENSMODG00000035259.2)". Lineage: Eukaryota; Metazoa; Chordata; Mammalia; Didelphimorphia; Didelphidae. The record is from RNAcentral.
GGGCAGUCCUGGCAGCAACAGAAGGAGGUUAUUCCAGCUAUUCCAGGAGGAGUGUCCUUUUUAAACUGUGGCCACCAGAACUGAACCCACCACCCAGAUGAGGGCUCAGCAGCGUGAAGGAGAGUGAGGCUCUCCCCUCCCUCUCCUGGAAGCUCUUCCCAUCAGCUUUGUUGACUGCCCCUGUCACACUGCUCACACCUACAGAGCUCGCAGCCUACUAAAACAUCCAUAUCCUUUUCCAGAAAGCUGUCUAACUACAACUCCCCCACGAAGGCCUUUUGAAGUUGAUCCUCUGCAUCAAAAUGGGGCACCCAUACCCACGACGUUCCAGAAGCCUGUAGUACUGAAGUAGGACAACCUUGUUCUUCAUCAUCUUCUAUUCUGGCCUUGAGGAUUCAGACAGAAAUGGGAAUAGCAUCAACAGAUGAAAACAAUGUCAAUGGAUGUAGGUCCCUGUGUGUAGUUUUGGCCGAUUUCACUUUGAAUCAGUUCACGUCUGCCAGUGCCUCUCUGAAGACUUCAGAGUUUUCACUUUAAAAAUGUAGCAAACUUCUCUGCUGGAUUUAUACUCCAAGAAGAGCAAAAACUGAAAGGUCUCCAAAACACUAAAAUAUUCAUAACAGGAUUUUAUGUGAU